GAACAUUUUCAAAUGUUUUCUGUCAAAGCCUGAUCUCAUCAGAUCUCAGAAGCUUAUCGGAACUGGGUCUGGUUAGUUCUUUGAUGGAAGACCACUAUCAGAUUUCAUGAUGGUCUGCC
RNAcentral lists this ribosomal RNA (119 nucleotides) under Periophthalmus magnuspinnatus. Lineage: Eukaryota; Metazoa; Chordata; Actinopteri; Gobiiformes; Gobiidae. The record is from RNAcentral.